GACGCAAUCAUUUUGAUAAUCCGGUUGGUUUUAAUAAGAGAAUAAACGUUCAGAAAUCGGCAAAUUAAAAAAAGUAGACAUAGAUAUGGGUUUGAAAAUGAAAACUGUCAAAACACCAUAUUACAUACAUUACCAUAUUUAUACAUUACCUAUGUUUAUUUGGUUUAAAGUAUUUAUACGGUAAUUAAUAAAAACAUCGAAUACUUAAAGAUAUUCGUUUUGAAAUGGUACAACGCGAAGUGAUUUUAGCUUUUAUAAAAUUAUAUUUGUUUAGGUAAUCCAUAAAUAUCAUCCAUCAGUAUACCUACUGUUUUCGCUUAUACUCAUUAUUUCAGAGUUCAGAGUUGGGUUAGUCAUCUUAUUUAUGUUUUAAUCUACGUAUAGUAUUAGCCUAUUCAUAUAAUUCAACGAAGGGGGCACAUAUUUGUGUAUAAAAAAGUAGCUGUAAACGGUAAUAUAAACAAAAUGGUAGAGGUUUUUCAAAAUAUAUUCAUUCGGAUUUAUAAAAGAGCAUCUGUUUAUAUGCAUAAAAUAUUUUUCGGUUUUGUAUACGAAUGGGUUUAUUUGUGAGAUGAGAAAAAUGUGUUUAACCGGUAAUUGCUGCAGAUGGUCUCCGAGCAUAUUAUAAAAUGUUUUCUCUAUAAGAUGCAACCUGCAUGUCGGUUGUUUAUAUU
Molecule: non-coding RNA, 674 nt
Organism: Cinara cedri
Lineage: Eukaryota; Metazoa; Arthropoda; Insecta; Hemiptera; Aphididae
Source: the annotation of a GenBank genome assembly